GGUGAACGCUAGCGGUGCGCCUAACACAUGCAAGUCGAGCGGUAGAAUUUCUAGCUUGCUAGAAAUUUGAGAGCGGCGAACGGGUGAGUAACACGUUGGAAUCUGCCCCCAAGUCAGGGAUAGCCAUUGGAAACGAUGAUUAAUACCGGAUGUGCUCUUCGGAGUAAAGAUUUAUCGCUUGGGGAGGAUCCUGCGUACUAUCAGCUUGUUGGUGAGGUAACUGCUCACCAAGGCUAUGACGGUUAACUGGUCUGAGAGGAUGAUCAGUCACAAUGAAACUGAGACACGGUUCAUACUCCUACGGGAGGCAGCAGUGAGGAAUCUUCCACAAUGGACGAAAGUCUGAUGGAGCGACACCGCGUGAAGGAUGAAGGUCUAACGAUUGUAAACUUCUUUUCUGAGGGAGCAUAAUGAGAGUACCUCAGGAAUAAGGGACGGCUAAUUACGUG
This 449-nucleotide ribosomal RNA is filed under the name uncultured organism. RNAcentral describes it as "bacterial SSU rRNA". It matches the Rfam family "Bacterial small subunit ribosomal RNA", at positions 28 to 507 of the family's 1533-position model. The record is from RNAcentral.